UGGGGAAUUUUGGACAAUGGGGGAAACCCUGAUCCAGCCAUCCCGCGUGUGCGAUGAAGGCCUUCGGGUUGUAAAGCACUUUUGGCAGGAAAGAAACGUCGCGGGUUAAUACCCCGCGAAACUGACGGUACCUGCAGAAUAAGCACCGGCUAACUACGUGCCAGCAGCCGCGGUAAUACGUAGGGUGCAAGCGUUAAUCGGAAUUACUGGGCGUAAAGCGUGCGCAGGCGGUUCGGAAAGAAAGAUGUGAAAUCCCAGGGCUUAACUUUGGAACUGCAUUUUUAACUACCGGGCUAGAGUGUGUCAGAGGGAGGUGGAAUUCCGCGUGUAGCAGUGAAAUGCGUAGAUAUGCGGAGGAACACCGAUGGCGAAGGCAGCCUCCUGGGAUAACACUGACGCUCAUGCACGAAAGCGUGGGGAGCAAACAGGAUUAGAUACCCUGGUAGUCCACGCCCUAAACGAUGUCAACUAGCUGUUGGGGCCUUCGGGCCUUGGUAGCGCAGCUAACGCGUGAAGUUGACCGCCUGGGGAGUACGGUCGCAAGAUUAAAACUCAAAGGAA
RNAcentral lists this ribosomal RNA (561 nucleotides) under uncultured bacterium. RNAcentral describes it as "partial 16S ribosomal RNA". It matches the Rfam family "Bacterial small subunit ribosomal RNA", at positions 355 to 909 of the family's 1533-position model. The record is from RNAcentral.